GUAGGUGAACCUGCGGAAGGAUCAUUAACACGUAUCCAACGUUAAACAACCCUGCGAACCUUGAACGUGCUCUCGUACACGCUCUAGCAGCAAUCCCUGGUAAAUCAUUGUUGACCAGCGCCAGAGUAAGUGCGGCCUGGCAUCCUAGCAAUCUGUCAGUGGUUGCGCAAGGAUGGCGCAGUAAACGAUCGCUGUAGGCCCACACGGUCGGCGACCGGGCCUCUGUGCUUCGGCACCUAAUGACACCAGUUUUCUGACCCGGUGCGCUGUAACAACCGCACCACAAACUCGAACAACUGUUAACAAUGGAUAUCUUGGUUCUU
Molecule: unclassified non-coding RNA, 323 nt
Filed under: rhizosphere metagenome
Description: partial ribosomal RNA internal transcribed spacer region
Source: RNAcentral